UGGGGAAUAUUGCACAAUGGGGGAAACCCUGAUGCAGCGACGCCGCGUGAACGAAGAAGGUAUUCGUAUCGUAAAGUUCUGUCCUAUGGGAAGAUAAUGACAGUACCAUAGACGAAAGCUCCGGCUAAAUACGUGCCAGCAGCCGCGGUAAUACGUAUGGAGCGAGCGUUGUCCGGAAUUAUUGGGCGUAAAGGGUACGCAGGCGGUUUAAUAAGUCGAAUGUUAAAGAUCGGGGCUCAACCCCGCAAAGCAUUGGAAACUGAUAAACUGGAGUAGUGGAGAGGAAAGUGGAAUUCCUAGUGUAGUGGUGAAAUACGUAGAUAUUAGGAGGAAUACCAGUAGCGAAGGAGACUUUCUGGACACAAACUGACGCUGAGGUACGAAAGCGUGGGGAGCAACCAGG
Molecule: ribosomal RNA, 403 nt
Filed under: bacterium
Lineage: Bacteria
Description: partial 16S ribosomal RNA
Rfam family: Bacterial small subunit ribosomal RNA
Source: RNAcentral